AUUUGAAAAGGAAAUCAACCAAGAAAAGAAAUGAGGAAAAAUUGAUAAAGACGAAGUACAAAAUGCCUUGCGAAAGAUAGUAAAGAGAGAAAAAUAUAUUGUAUUGCUCAGAAGUAAUGAAUAGUCGCCUCUCCCCUCAAACACAUGCGUUUGAGGUUGUUUUUAUAGAGAAAACAUGAUCAAUGCGGUCAUUUACUGCUCAUAAUCGCAUUGAUCCGCAUUAAUCAUAUAAGUUACAUUUUGACCGAAACGGCUUGAAUUUGAACUAUCUUGGGCUUCGCG
RNAcentral lists this long non-coding RNA (282 nucleotides) under Arabidopsis lyrata. RNAcentral describes it as "long non-coding RNA (ALYR_LNC002469)". Lineage: Eukaryota; Viridiplantae; Streptophyta; Magnoliopsida; Brassicales; Brassicaceae. The record is from RNAcentral.